GUAGGUGAACCUGCGGAAGGAUCAUUACCGAGUUCAUGCCCUCACGGGUAGACCUCCCACCCUUUGUAUACCUUACCUCUUGUUGCUCCGGUGGGCUUCGACCGGCCUCGGCUGGGAAGCGCUCGCCGGACAGCAUACCAAACCCAUUAUAGUGUCGUCUGAGAAAAAAGUUUAAUAUUUAAAACUUUCAACAACGGAUCUCUUGGCUCUGGCAUCGAUGAAGAACGCAGCAUCUGACUGACUUCAGUAC
This 250-nucleotide unclassified non-coding RNA is filed under the name plant metagenome. Its description in RNAcentral is "partial contains small subunit ribosomal RNA, internal transcribed spacer 1, and 5.8S ribosomal RNA". The record is from RNAcentral.